AUGUACAUGCUCGUGCUUGACCUUCAGAACUACUUUAUAAACCAGGUGAUUCUUUUUCUGAGAUUUCCUCGGCCAUCGCCUCAGUUCUCCAACUACCGGAUUACGCUUCACUACACAGCAAACAGAGAGCGAAGUUGUACCAAAAGGUCUGAACAAGAGAAUGAGAGACUGCAUAAACAACGUGGAACCUUACUGAUAGCCCUAGUUUCAGCGAUCAAAAUUUCCUUUGUGAUCAACGAGGCUAUCCAGGCACCAAAGGCAGCAGAACUAUGCUGUCAGACAACAUGGGCACACGCCAGACUUCCUUACUAUAGACUAUCAACAAGAACAGAAGGUCACAUCAUUACUGAGGAUCUACCAAAGGAUACACUGAAGGGUAUUAUAGAUGCAUUUGCAAGGAUAGCAAAUAUGAUUGACAUUCUCCAUAGAUGUGGCUCAAAAGCGGCGCAAGAUAUUAUUGUCAAGAGCCUGUCUCAAUUGUUGGUUUUUGGUGACACAUCUGAUUAUCACAAAAGCUAUUUGGUUCUGACCGAGUUAUGGGUGAAGAUAACACUUCAAGAUUUUGAAGAUGACCAACGUGUGGAUAGUGCUCCUCUUCUCUACCACUCUCUUAUGGCCUGCUCGUCUCCCUUGCCAAUGAAGUUAAUAGGCUUAAUCGUAGAGCAGAUCAAAGGUUUUAGUCAGGCAGGCAUGUAUACUCCGUGCGUCUGGGUGCAAAACAUAAACUGCUGUUUAGAGUCCUUGUUUGAAGCCAUAUCUUUACUGGUAAGCGCCCCCACUCCCAUCCCUACUGUCCCCUUCCUGUCUUGUUUUCUUACAUCAAACCAGCAAGGCAUCUUACCGGAUUCCUCUCGAGGGAAUGCAAUUGUGAUCCAUGAACUAGCUAUUGCAUACUGCCUGCAGUCACUAUGUGCCCACGAAGCCAAUCAUGGCGGCAAGGUAAUCCUUGAUGAUGCUAGGAGUGUUGUUAGGUUGUGGUCGAAGAUGGGUACUUUGCAUCAUUGUUCUCCUGGUGUGGUCUUUCAACAGCCAUCAGAAACCCUUGUACCACUUCUUUGUUCUCUCGUUGAUUUGCUGGCGAUGAAGGGCUGCUUUGAGCUUCAGUUUGAGCAGUGCAAGCUUAUCAUAAUGAUAUGGAAGCAAGAAAACUUACCCCUAGAAAAGUUAUUCUCCAUGUUAUUUAUCAAUGGACGCCUUAAUCAUGCAUGUUGUCAUCUCCCAAUGGACCAGAAAUUUGUUUCUUAUGUGGCACAGAAUCUUGGUGUUGAUUGCCACAGUAUGAUAUUUUGGAGAAACUGUUUCAAAGAAGAUUACCCUUCUCUUACUAUCUUGCUUCAGCGGUUGUGGCCAGUUGAUUUCUUUUCUCAAUCAUCUGGACACUCCUUUGGAAAUCAGUUAGGUUUUAAUGCUAGUGUUGAUGAGAUUCAUAAAGUUGCAUCAUCUCUGGUUUCUGAAGGUCCUUUGAGUAAUCAAUCAACCUAUUUGGCUGGCUGUAUAUACUAUGAUUUGUCAGAAAGACUUCUGUCAAGAGGACAAAUCUCCAGGCCAUUUCAUAUGGAACAGAAGCCCUCCAAUUGCGCAAGAAGCUCCUGA
This 1593-nucleotide ribosomal RNA is filed under the name Triticum aestivum (bread wheat). RNAcentral describes it as "partial small subunit ribosomal RNA". The record is from RNAcentral. Lineage: Eukaryota; Viridiplantae; Streptophyta; Magnoliopsida; Poales; Poaceae.